GUGCCAGCCGCCGCGGUAAUACCGGCAGCCCGAGUGAUGGCCGAUCUUAUUGGGCCUAAAGCGUCCGUAGCUGGCCGCGCAAGUCCAUCGGGAAAUCCACCCGCCCAACGGGUGGCCGUCCGGUGGAAACUGCACGGCUUGGGACCGGAAGGCUCGAAGGGUACGUUCGGGGUAGGAGUGAAAUCCCAUAAUCCCGCACGGACCACCGAUGGCGAAAGCACUUCGAGAAAACGGAUCCGACAGUGAGGGACGAAAGCCAGGGUCUCCAACCGGAUUAGAUACCCCGGUGUCC
This 292-nucleotide ribosomal RNA is filed under the name uncultured bacterium. RNAcentral's name for it is "partial 16S ribosomal RNA". It matches the Rfam family "Archaeal small subunit ribosomal RNA", at positions 455 to 747 of the family's 1478-position model. The record is from RNAcentral.